This 572-nucleotide ribosomal RNA is filed under the name uncultured bacterium. RNAcentral describes it as "partial 16S ribosomal RNA". It matches the Rfam family "Bacterial small subunit ribosomal RNA", at positions 355 to 1376 of the family's 1533-position model. The record is from RNAcentral.
UGGGGAAUAUUGCACAAUGGGCGCAAGCCUGAUGCAGCAACGCCGCGUGAGGGAUGACGGCCUUCGGGUUGUAAACCUCUUUUAGCAGGGAAGAAGCGAAAGUGACGGUACCUGCAGAAAAAAGCACCGGCUAACUACGUGCCAGCAGCCGCGGUAAUACGUAGGGUGCAAGCGUUGUCCGGAAUUAUUGGGCGUAAAGAGCUCGUAGGCGGUCUGUCGCGUCUGCUGUGAAAUCCCGAGGCUCAACCUCGGGCCUGCAGUGGGUACGGGCAGACUAGAGUGCGGUAGGGGAGAAUGGAACUCCUGGUGUAGCGGNUGAAUGCGCAGAUAUCAGGAAGAACACCGAUGGCGAAGGCAGUUCUCUGGGCCGUAACUGACGCUGAGGAGCGAAAGCGUGGGGAGCGAACAGGAUUAGAUACCCUGGUAGUCCACGCCGUAAACGUUGGGCGCUAGAUGUGGGGACCACUCCACGGUUUCCGUGUCGCAGCUAACGCAUUAAAGCGCCCCGCCUGGGGGAGUACGGCCGCAAGGCUAAAACUCAAAGGAAUUGACGGGGUCAUAGCUGUUUCCUG